CGUACCGCAAACCGACACAGGUAGAUGAGGAGAGAAUCCUAAGGCCGGCGGAAGAAUUACUGCUAAGGAACUCGGCAAAUUGACCCCGUAACUUAGGGAGAAGGGGUGCCUACGAGAGUAGGCCGCAGUGAACAGGCCCAAGCAACUGUUUAUCAAAAACACAGGUCUCUGCUAAAGCGUAAGCUGAUGUAUAGGGGCUGACGCCUGCCCGGUGCUGGAAGGUUAAGGGGAAUGGUUAGUCUUCGGGCGAAGCCAUGAACUUAAGCCCCAGUAAACGGCGGCCGUAACUAUAACGGUCCUAAGGUAGCGAAAUUCCUUGUCGGGUAAGUUCCGACCCGCACGAAUGGCGUAAUGAUUUGGGCACUGUCUCGGCAGUAAAUCCGGUGAAAUUGAAGUGUGAGUGAAGAUGCUCACUACCCGCGGUUGGACGGAAAGACCCCGUAGAGCUUUACUGUAGCUUAGCAUUGAAUUUCGGUAUUGUCUGUACAGGAUAGGUGGGAGACUUGGAAACAGGGGCGUCAGCUUCUGUGGAGUCAACCUUGGGAUACCACCCUGACAGUAUUGGAAUUCUAACUGGCGGCCAUGAAUCUGGUCACAGGACAUUGCUAGGUGGGCAGUUUGACUGGGGCGG
Molecule: ribosomal RNA, 631 nt
Filed under: Clostridium sp. ZS2-4
Lineage: Bacteria; Bacillati; Bacillota; Clostridia; Eubacteriales; Clostridiaceae
Description: partial 23S ribosomal RNA
Rfam family: Bacterial large subunit ribosomal RNA
Source: RNAcentral